CCUACGGGGGGCUGCAGGAGGGAGUAUUGGUAAUGUGGGAAACCGCGAACCAGCAACGCCGCGUGAGCGCUGACGGCCUUCGGGUUGUAAAGCUCUUUUCAUCGGGACGAGGAAGGACGGUACCGGUGGAAUAAGCCUCGGCUAACUACGUGCCAGCAGCCGCGGUAAAACGUAGGAGGCGAGCGUUAUCCGGAUUUACUGGGUGUAAAGCGCAUGCAGGCGGUUCACUAAGUUGGGUGUGAAAGCUCCGGGCUAAACUGGGAGAGGUCGCUCAAGACUGGUGAACUAGAGAGUGGUAGGGGAAGGUGGAAUUCCGGGUGUAGUGGUGAAAUGCGUAGAUAUCCGGAGGAACACCAGUGGCGAAGGCGGCCUUCUAGGCCACUUCUGACGCUCAGAUGCGACAGCUAGGGUAGCAAACGGGAUUAGAUACCCGAGUAGUC
RNAcentral lists this ribosomal RNA (440 nucleotides) under uncultured bacterium. RNAcentral describes it as "partial 16S ribosomal RNA". It matches the Rfam family "Bacterial small subunit ribosomal RNA", at positions 338 to 795 of the family's 1533-position model. The record is from RNAcentral.